UACUGUAUUCAUAGACUCACUCUAUCAUCUUUAACAGAGCGAUGGAUUUUGAUGAUAAAAGACUGUAAUUGCAUUCACUGCAAUAUGCAUUUAAGCUGUCAUCCUUCAGCUGCUCAUUUUGUUACAUCUUCACUUUAGCAGAGCUAUUAUCAAUGAAAUCAGAGUGUGCGGUACAGAGGCAUUCUAUCUAAAAGAUAUGCAAAACCCCAUCCUAGUUUACAGUCUACUCUUUACAGCUCUGAGGUUAGAUGACGAUGAAGAGACAGAGGCAGUUGUGGACCUAGAGAUUCUGAGAUGCUCAGGCAGCAGCAACUGUGGAUUAUCAGAGUCUCAAACAUAGCAGAAAGGCUUCAGGAAGAUCCGGGCUUGUGGUAGACCUGACUCCAAAUCAGUUAAAAGGUGCCACGUGUGUGCCAUCAAUUGUGAUUUUCAUCUGAACCAUUCCAAAAGUUCAGGGUGCGUAUCCAAAGCUGCUCUGUGGUAACAGGAAGUUUUGCUUUGGUUUUGCUCUUCAUAUGUGACCGGAAAUUCCUGAGAGCUACGUAGAAUGUUCAAGGGUUCCAAGAGACAUGUUCAGGGGUGGGUAAGUCUUCCUUUUAUCAACUAUCAUAUGAGGACAAUUUUUCAUAUAUGUCAAACAAACAAACAAAAAAUAAGACUGUAUAUAGAAGCAAAUGUGAAAAAUCUACUUUAUAUUAAAACAAAUUUUAAUGAUACUUUCAAAAAUAUAAACCAUGAAAUUUUUCUUUUUUUUGUUUUUGAAAUUACUGUUAAUUUUUAUAAAAUGUCAUUUUUCUUUAUAUUGAAGCUUGUUGAUUAUUCAUCUUAAAUAUAUAUAGUCUUUGCUUAUAUUUUAUUUUCAUAAAUUAUGAACAGCUAUAACUUGUAUAGACCAAAGCACUUUGGAGUCUUCAGUACAUUUUAAGAUUUAAGGGAUCUUCAAUAUGUAAAAAGAAUUUUGUUGUACUUAUUUAUCUUGACUGUGUGUGUGUGUGUGUGUGUGUGUGUGUGUGUGUGUGUGUGUGUGUGUUUGCGCGCACGCGCACACAUGCAUGCAUGCAUGCAUGCAGUGGCAUAGGUGUCAAGGUCAGAGGAGUCAUUUCUUUCCUCCCACCAUGCAGAUUCCAAGGACAGAACCCAGGUUGUCAGGUUUGGCCUUAACAAACUGAAACAUUUUGCUUGCUCAGUGCAUAAUAUUUUGGAGAAAAACAAACAAACACUGAAAACUGCUUUUUAAUAUAGUCCUUUCUGACAUCCAACAAGAUCAUCUGUGAAAUGCUGCAUUCAGCCCGAAUGGUGUUUAUUUACUUAUGUUAAUUUAAACAAGUGUAUUUGAUGAGUUAUAUAAAUGUGUAUAUGUAUAUAUACACAUGCAUCCAUACAUACAACUUUAUUUAAUAAAGCUAAAUUUUUCUUUAUUCUCACAAAUUCUUCAGGUUUCAAACUUACACCAUAUCCUUUUUUCUUUCAGUUGGCAUUGCUGCAUAUUUGUUUCUGUCUCUGUGUCUCUAGAGAUAUUUGAAUCUGGAGUCUCCAUUCUGAAAGGUCACUAACUUCUGUUUCAUCUAUAAACUGGUGAUGAAGGUUUUGUCUGGUAUCUUAUAGGAAAUUUUGGAGGCUAAAAUCAAAUUACGGAUACCAGAAAUGUGAAUGUGUGGAAAUAACACAGUGCAUGGUACAAGAAACUGACAGAAAUCAUCAUUACUCUGAUUACUAUUAUGAUUACAUCAUUUUUUAAAGGAAGUUUAAACAUGAAAUUGAGGAGGUUUAUAACCCAACUGAAGAUUUCCAGUUUCUUGAACAAUACAUAUUUUCUCACGGUGUGUGUUCUUUUCUUUUGUCAAUAGAGUGAAGAAGAAUCGUAAUGAAAUGAAAGCAGCAUAGAAACUAAGACAAGGACUUCUGGUCAAGAGAUUGGGAGUCCUGUGGUGCUCAGAUGCUCUUUAGUAACUAGCUGGAAAAGCAUGAAUAAAUAACUCAACUUUCCUUAUCUCAUUGUUUUUGCUACAUCUUUAGAGUGAGGUUAUUGGAUUGCAAUGAUUUUAUAAGAACAGGAGAAUAUGUUUUCUUCUCAUUUGUAAUACUGGUGCUUUUCAGAGUCCGUACACAUUGUCUAGAAAUCCAGAACAGUUCUGGAAAAUGUUAUAGGAACUUUUUAAUCAUUUCAGAUGAAUAGACUGAUUUAAAAAAACACAAUUAUAAGGUAGCUUCUGUAAACCAAGUUUAUACCAUGCUGUAGGGAACAAAGUGUUUCAUAAUUAUGAAUUUUUCAAUAAUUGACACAAACUUCUUUAAGAUUCACAAAUCUGCUUUGGUUUCUUUUUCUAGGAAUUAUUUCUUUACAAACAUACCUUACUUUUUAACAUCUUUGAAACAGCAGCUAUAGGGAUUUAGAGCUCCUCUUUAUUGUUCAGGUCUUUGCCUCACGGUUUUCUGUUCAUAGGGGAGGGAUUUCCACAGUGCCUUCUAAACCAUCAUGUGGCCAAUGAACUAGUUCUGUAGUUUCAAUAAGUAAUAAGUAAAAUUUUUUUUUAAAAAAUUGUGGUUAUGUAGCCAAUGAAUCAGUUUUUCUGUGACAUUUAUACUUUAAACAUUAAACUAAUUAAAUCACAUUUUGCUAAAGCCACAAGUAUGUCUUAUUUGUUUUUAAAUUUAAAAACUCUUGAAAAUGAACUAUUGUAAAACUAUUAAUGAAAAGUACAAAUAUUUAAUGUAGUUUAUAAUUAGUAUUUUAUUUUAUAAAAUGUAUUUUUUUUUUUUUUUUGGUUUUUCGAGACAGGGUUUCUCUGUGUAGUUUUGUGCCUUUCCUGGAACUCACUUUGUAGACCAGGCUGGCCUCGAACUCACAGAGAUCUGCCUGCCUCUGCCUCCCAAGUGCUGAGAUUAAAGGCGUGCGCCACCACCUUUUAUAAAGUCUUAUGAAACUCAUAAACUAUAUUAUUUCUUUAUCUCAAGUAGAUUUGAAACAUAAAUAUUAUUGUCAUUGAAUUGGUUUUAUAUGUGGAUGUACAUUUGUCACAGAAAUGUUACUAAUCCCUGGGAAGAAAGAGUUCUCUUUCAGACUGAAUAAUAUUAAAUCAAGAAUGUUUUACUUUCUGGGGUUUCCUGAUUUCAGUUAAUCACUGAAGAUUUUUUAUAGUACUAGUCGUAAACUAAUUGGGAUGUGUUUUUCCUUAAAUAUCUAUUGGUUUAAUACAUGGAUUAAAUCAAAUACUGAUAGAAAAUAUAUAGAAAAGGCUGUACUGAUCAUAAAUAGAUUUUUCUUGUAAUUAUUCUAUAAAUAAUGCACUAUUGCAACUACUUACAUAGUAAUUAAUAUUGGGUACUAUAAGUGAACCAGAAACAGUUUUAAACAUAUGAGAGAGUAUACCUGUUACUUGCAAAUGCUCUCCACUUUAUCAUAGGGAACCUACAUAAGUGUAGAUUUUAGUAUUGUUGAAAUUCUUGGACUUUCUCCUAGAUGAGGAGGGCUGUGAUUUGAAUUGAAUAUAAUUUAUGUGUGUGAAUAUAUUUUGAAACAUUUAUUCUGUACUUUUUUCAUGAACUAUAUAACAUUUGUUAUGUUAUAUGUUAUACUUAUCAUGUUAUAUCAUGUUGACUGGAAUCUUUUACCCAAAUAACUACUCUAAUUAAUAUACAUUUAAAUUGGUAAGUUGGUUAGUAGAUGAACAUUCAUUUAUUUUAUUUUAUUUCUCCUUUUGAUACAUUUUCAAGUAGUGUUAAACCUUAUUAUUUUGUUGACUUUAUGACAAUCACAAAAAUGUUCCAAGACCAUCUAGAUUUUUAUUCCUUUUAAGUACAUGGAAACAACUCCUGAAAGAUCAGUGAUUUCUUUUAAGAGAAAAUGAAUUAAAGAAGAAAACCAUGUAGAAAAAUGUGUAUGCCUAUUAGGACUAGAUAAAAUACUUAAAGCUAGGAAAAUCAAUGACAAUUCGGAAAUAUUCUGGUUAUGGUCAUGAUUUUACAUUGAUAUUUACAGCUUGUUUUGAAUAUCUUAAUUUCUUGACAUAGCAUGAAACAAUUAUUUUUCUUGUUAACGUGAUUGUGUAGAAGGAUGUAUAGAUCACUAACAAAGCUACAGGAUGGUGGUGGCAUAUGUCUUUAAUCCCAGUACUCAGAGACCAAUCUGGUCCACAGAGAGAGUUCUAGGACACAUAAGUCUGCACAGAGAAACCCUGUCUCUGAAAACAAACAAAAAAGCAAGCAAAUAAAACAAAACUAGCAAAGCACAUUUCUGGGUGUGUACAUCAAUCUUCUUUGAACAUACUCUCAGAGAAGUGUGGCCAGAGAAGAUUGACAUAUGGCACAGAAAACUGAGUGGAGAAGACAGUCCCUAAUGUGGGCAGCAAUGUAUACGAGGCUGGGCUUGGCUUUAAUAAUAAGUGGAAGAAAAGGAAAGUUUGUUUUGCAUGUCUUAAAGUUCUAUUCUUUAAAUGAGUUAUUUUUUCUUUUAUGUGAUUGUAUUUCCCAUGCACAUCAGACUCCAGAUUUUUCAGUGGUUAACAUCCAGGUUCUCACAGUUUCUUCUCAAAAUGCUUUCUGCUUAGAUUGGGCAGAACUACUGGUGUCUCUCACUCUGAGGCUGUCAGCUUCUGUACUGAGCAGAUAACGUUUUCCCUAGCUCUUUCACCUGAAUAUGGUCACUAUGGGACUAUUUGGCUUCUGAGGGGGUCAGCCAAUCUAACACAUCUUCCCCUAUAAUCAAACAUAGUUAUAUUCUUCGAUUCUGUUCCUCUAGAGAAUCCUGACAUAUACCAAGAUCAUUCUUAUAGUUUAAGAUUUUAAAACCAUAAUUUUCUAAAACAUAAAUUAUUUUAGAACCUAAAUUUGAGCUACAGUACUCCUGUCUGAUUUCACAUUUUAAUUUUUACCUCUCAUCACUUUCUGUGGAAGAAGUAACAUUAUUAUAAAAGUGUUAUUUUGCUCUUAUGUGAUAUGAUAAUAGUUGAGGUCGUUUUGGCAUGACAGUUUUAUAUAUCCUGAAAGAAAGUGGCCCAAGGCUGCUCCACUUUUUAAGGUGACUUCUUUCCCCAUGAUUUUGUCUUUGUGAACUUUCAUUAAAGGUUCAGUCUCAUUUCUUUUCUUAGUCAGAUUGAAACCAGUCGCAUAGAGAAAGGUCUGAUGUUCACCAAGCAGCCACAGAUGUUGGUGGAAUGAAUUCACAGUGAACUGAGAACCCGGCCUGCUCUCUACUUACAGGGUUCUUCACCUUCUCUGCACCACAAACAACAUAGCCUGCUCUUGCUCUGGUAGUAAUUCCCAUGUGUGUUAUCCUGAGCUCACUCAAUGCUGAAGCUGUAAUUUCCUGAGUGAUGAAGUUGAGGAAGAGAGAUUAUUGGAAAAUCACAAAUACAACGGUUAUAGGUCAACUUUUGAUGCUGCUCUGAGACCUGUUCCUUAUUUAUACUGUGUUCAGAAAUCUUCGUGGAUGUUAAAGCAUAAAAGACCCCGGCAAGACUUGAGGAUGAUCCCAACAAGAACUUCUAACAGAUACAAUUUUGAUCUCACUCAAUUUCUUCUGGUAAUGUAAUACUCUAUAGAAAUCUAUUAAAACUUCAGUUUAAUGCAAAUAAUUUUUAUCAAAUAAAUUGUUUUUCUUUUCUCCCUGACACCAGUGUUCUCUGUAGUUGACCUUUGCAACAAUGGCAGCCUAGUCUCCACCCAUCCUAUAGAGCAGAUUUAAAAUGUUCCCACUUCAGUUGUAUUUUACUGUGUGUAUAUAAAAAGGACUUCAUUGUCUUCAUGGCCUUUGUCUGCUGACAGGAAAUUGGUAUAUUUAUUUUAUUGAUAGGAAGAAAUGUUUCUCAUCUUCAAAGGAAAAAAAUGAACAGGCAGCCCAAUAAUAUGAAUUAAAGAAGUCCAGAUAACUCAAUAUUUUAUGACCAUUCUUCAUUCAUUAAAUGCAAAAAUCGAGGCUUUUUAUUUUUUCUACAAUACUACCUAACAGUAUAUAUAUUUCUAGAUGAGGAUUAAUGUUACCAUAAGUAUAUAUAUAUUUGAUAUGACAAUUUGAUUUCCCUGCUUUGUAAACUAUUUCUCUCUGCAUUCUUCUUUGCUCAUAUUUAAAAAUCUCAGAAUCAAUUUUCACUGGAUUGUUCUGCUCUUUCCAUUAUUCAUGACAAAAAAAUAUUUUUUUCCUUUUCCCUCUCAAGCUUAAUGAAAAUCUUUUCAUUUGCAUAUGAAUCUUUAGAGUGGACCUUUAAUCUGUUGGCUGUUUUUCAUGCUCAUGUGAACAAAUUUAUCUUUCCCAAUCGUUGUCUUCCUCUCAUCACUCCUUCAAUAAAAUAUUUUCUUCUACUUUU
Peromyscus californicus insignis is the source of this 6302-nucleotide long non-coding RNA. RefSeq lists it as uncharacterized. The transcript is spliced from 2 exons. Lineage: Eukaryota; Metazoa; Chordata; Mammalia; Rodentia; Cricetidae. The record is from RefSeq and is a predicted model, not a curated record.